Molecule: long non-coding RNA, 320 nt
Organism: Mytilus californianus (California mussel)
Lineage: Eukaryota; Metazoa; Mollusca; Bivalvia; Mytilida; Mytilidae
Exons: 3
Source: RefSeq, a predicted model, not a curated record
UUGUCCCCCUUUGUUCUAUCUUCUUCAUAGUUAUUGACCUCAUAACACGGUCGUGUGGUUUAUGAUAUUACUAGUGUAAUUGACGAAAGCAUUUUAAGGACAUGAGCUAUUUGCAAAUAUUCAUAAAUGCUAUUGUUGUAGCUUUGAUGGCUAUGUACGUGUAUGAAAAUGAAAGAAAAAUGGAGAAAAUGUCGACUAAGCAUGAUCAAACAGGGGUGACAUACAUCAGAUGGGGUAAAACAAAAUGUGAUGGAUCUAACACCGAAACAAUAUAUUCAGGGGCAAGCGUAAACUACAUAUGUUUACCUGACAACCCGGAC